AAUAGGAAAGUUUCGUUUUUUCACACCACCGACCUUGAUUUUAUCAAAAUGGUGGAAGAAACGUACUCCAGAUGUUCAUCCUACACCAGCUGUGUCAAGAGACCAAGCACGUUAUGAUCCAUAUUUAUGUACAAGCAUACUCAGCAGAAGAAGAAAUCCACAUAAACAACAUCAACUAUCUAUCGAUCAAGGUGUACAGAUAUGCGAGAGAAAAUACAAAGGUUUCAAGGUCAACGUAGAUAUAUCUCGCUGUUCUUUUUUUUUGUUCUCCUAUUCUGACUUGGUAUUGAUUUUGUUGAUUUCCGCUUUGUGCAUGUAAGGGCUUAUCUUUGUUAUGUUUUAGAUUGGCUCAUAUUCUUCAAGAGUAGUUGUUCCGUUUUAUGAUUCCUUUUUUUGCCAAUUGUUUUUCUGAUUUAUUAUUAUUCGUUUGAUAGUGAAUUUCACUGUUUGGAUGUUCAUUGGGUUAACGUGGUUCUUUGUAUUAGGUUAUAAAUUUUGACGAUCCAACUCUAGUGAGGAAGAAUAGCAAAAUAGACGACCAGGUAAAUCCUAACCAAAAAAGAUUUAUUGAUAUGAUGAGUAGUAUUAUCAUGAACUUAUAUGUAUAGUGAUAUAAGUCUCCAAGCUUUACAAUAUUACGGCAUACUAAAUAUGUGACAGAAUGAAGAUUUUUUGUAAUUUACCUAAUGUUGAUUAGGUUGCUUUGGAAGUAUUAGGUAGUGUAACACUCAAUAGAGUUUCUUUUGGUGGUAUCCGGGAUGGUGUGCGUUUUGAUCGAGCAGUAACAUAAGGAUAAACUAUCUAAUUUGUAUCACCUGUGUUAAUUUGUAAACACUCAAUUUAACGCCAACUAUUUUUUUGAUCAAUUAGUCGUGUUUGGUUCAAUUUUGGGUGGCCUCCUGUAAGUUUAGAGUGGUUGUAAGAUGUUAUAACGGGUUAGCUCAGGCGCGUUCUUUACUAUUGUAGUGGUAUUAGAUGUGGUUAUUUACAGGUAAUCAAAGACACAAUUUUAUGGUUAUUUGAAACCGCUAGAUUAUCUAAUGUAUUAUAUAUGAGCGUGACUACGACGAUGCAUGGUUAAGCGACGGGAAACCUAAUGGUGUCACAUGUGAAUCAUUAUUUCUGCCGUAUAUGAGGUGCCCCGUUGUCCGUUAUCGGGAGCAGCACUUAUUAUACAGUAUGCGUACACCCGUCAGCAGUCCUUCAUUUGGCUCUAACAUCUUCAUCUGGGAAGAUACAUCACUUAUAAAAUAUCAUCCGUGCUCGCUUCUCCUUCUUUUAGUUUACUCUUUUCAACAUCACCUUCCACUGUGAGGGUUCCAUGUUAGAUAUGAACAUUUUGAAAGGUAAAUUCAAAGAAUGGGAAGAGAACAUGGGUAAGCUACUAUGGCAUUACUUAUAAAGCACCUUACAAGUCAUCUGUCAGCAAGUAUCAAAGUAAGUUAUUUUCCUUUUUGUGGUUUUGAUAAAUUUUUUUGCAUAAAUUUAGUAAUUUUUAAUUUUAUUUUCGCAUACUGAAUGCAAUGAACAUGAUUUAUUGUGUCUGUGGAUGAUUCUCUGUGAGCUACCGAUUAGGGUGCAUAAUUUUAUAUAAAUUUGGACUCUUGAAUUCAUAUGUUUCGGUUUCCUCCAUUAGCUAAUGCUCCCAGUAAUGCUUACAAUUUGGAUAUACUGUUGUUGUUAAUCAUCUAGAAAUCUCUCUGGUGCUUAAGAACAUGGAUCACUCAUCAAAUGAGUAGUCUUCAUAGCGAUUUAACUGUAAUUAUUAAUCUUUGUUAUGUAUUCUUUUGUUUUUUAUAUAAGGAUGAUCUUAUUUUUCAAGCUUCUAACUACUCUAAUGACCAAGAAAACAUUGUUGUGAAGAGAUCUUUUUCCAGACAACUACAACCACCAAUAAAAACUCUAACAACGUUAUGCGAAGGGGUAAUCUUUCUGCUUUGGAUUGAUGGAUUUACAAUGUAUAAAGACUAGAAAAAGAUUUGGUGGAAGAAGAACAUGAUGGGCAGAAAAGAAACUUUUUGGAGGGAAUUGUGUAUUUUUAUGCUAUGUACCUCAUUACGUUAAAGACCGCUUGAUGGAGAGUGUCCGAUCUAUAUACCCUCGACGGUUAAGAGAUUUUAUGGAAGCUGUUAAUCCGUAUAUAUACACUCAGUUUCUUAAGUU
This is a long non-coding RNA of Papaver somniferum (opium poppy), 2163 nucleotides long. RefSeq lists it as uncharacterized. NCBI's taxonomy places the organism in Eukaryota, Viridiplantae, Streptophyta, Magnoliopsida, Ranunculales, Papaveraceae. The record is from RefSeq and is a predicted model, not a curated record. The transcript has 3 exons.